GGGGGGAGCGCAGGAUCCUGGGCUGUGUCCCCCGGCGCCCUGAGCUCCGGGGCCUGCACCGCUGGAAUCGCGCUCCCAGGGCCGCGUACCCCCU
This 94-nucleotide microRNA precursor is filed under the name Canis lupus familiaris (dog). RNAcentral describes it as "mir-8799 microRNA precursor family". It matches the Rfam family "mir-8799 microRNA precursor family". The record is from Rfam by way of RNAcentral. Lineage: Eukaryota; Metazoa; Chordata; Mammalia; Carnivora; Canidae. RNAcentral also lists the same sequence under 1 other name.